This 1041-nucleotide ribosomal RNA is filed under the name Enterococcus gallinarum. RNAcentral's name for it is "bacterial SSU rRNA". It matches the Rfam family "Bacterial small subunit ribosomal RNA", at positions 63 to 1075 of the family's 1533-position model. Lineage: Bacteria; Bacillati; Bacillota; Bacilli; Lactobacillales; Enterococcaceae. The record is from RNAcentral.
CGAACGCUUUUUCUUUCACCGGAGCUUGCUCCACCGAAAGAAAAAGAGUGGCGAACGGGUGAGUAACACGUGGGUAACCUGCCCAUCAGAAGGGGAUAACACUUGGAAACAGGUGCUAAUACCGUAUAACACUAUUUUCCGCAUGGAAGAAAGUUGAAAGGCGCUUUUGCGUCACUGAUGGAUGGACCCGCGGUGCAUUAGCUAGUUGGUGAGGUAACGGCUCACCAAGGCAACGAUGCAUAGCCGACCUGAGAGGGUGAUCGGCCACACUGGGACUGAGACACGGCCCAGACUCCUACGGGAGGCAGCAGUAGGGAAUCUUCGGCAAUGGACGAAAGUCUGACCGAGCAACGCCGCGUGAGUGAAGAAGGUUUUCGGAUCGUAAAACUCUGUUGUUAGAGAAGAACAAGGAUGAGAGUAAAAUGUUCAUCCCUUGACGGUAUCUAACCAGAAAGCCACGGCUAACUACGUGCCAGCAGCCGCGGUAAUACGUAGGUGGCAAGCGUUGUCCGGAUUUAUUGGGCGUAAAGCGAGCGCAGGCGGUUUCUUAAGUCUGAUGUGAAAGCCCCCGGCUCAACCGGGGAGGGUCAUUGGAAACUGGGAGACUUGAGUGCAGAAGAGGAGAGUGGAAUUCCAUGUGUAGCGGUGAAAUGCGUAGAUAUAUGGAGGAACACCAGUGGCGAAGGCGGCUCUCUGGUCUGUAACUGACGCUGAGGCUCGAAAGCGUGGGGAGCGAACAGGAUUAGAUACCCUGGUAGUCCACGCCGUAAACGAUGAGUGCUAAGUGUUGGAGGGUUUCCGCCCUUCAGUGCUGCAGCAAACGCAUUAAGCACUCCGCCUGGGGAGUACGACCGCAAGGUUGAAACUCAAAGGAAUUGACGGGGGCCCGCACAAGCGGUGGAGCAUGUGGUUUAAUUCGAAGCAACGCGAAGAACCUUACCAGGUCUUGACAUCCUUUGACCACUCUAGAGAUAGAGCUUCCCCUUCGGGGGCAAAGUGACAGGUGGUGCAUGGUUGUCGUCAGCUCGUGUCGUGAGAUGU